UACGAAGGGGGCUAGCGUUGCUCGGAAUCACUGGGCGUAAAGCGCACGUAGGCGGAUCGUUAAGUCGGAGGUGAAAUCCUGGAGCUCAACUCCAGAACUGCCUUCGAUACUGGCGAUCUUGGAGUCCGGGAGAGGUGAGUGGAACUCCGAGUGUAGAGGUGAAAUUCGUAGAUAUCGGGAGGAACACCGGUGGCGAAGGCGGCGACCUGGGUCGAGACUGACGCUGAGGCGCGAAAGCGUGGGGAGCAAACAGG
This 254-nucleotide ribosomal RNA is filed under the name uncultured bacterium. Its description in RNAcentral is "partial 16S ribosomal RNA". It matches the Rfam family "Bacterial small subunit ribosomal RNA", at positions 524 to 776 of the family's 1533-position model. The record is from RNAcentral.